Molecule: ribosomal RNA, 483 nt
Filed under: uncultured bacterium
Lineage: Bacteria
Description: partial 16S ribosomal RNA
Rfam family: Bacterial small subunit ribosomal RNA
Source: RNAcentral
GACGAACGCUGGCGGCGUGCUUAACACAUGCAAGUCGAACGCUGAAGCUCAGCUUUUGUUGGGUGGAUGAGUGGCGAACGGGUGAGUAACACGUGAGUAACCUGCCCCCUUCUUUGGGAUAACGCCCGGAAACGGGUGCUAAUACUGGAUAUUCACUGGUCUUCGCAUGGGGGUUGGUGGAAAGGGUUUUUCUGGUGGGGGAUGGGCUCGCGGCCUAUCAGCUUGUUGGUGGGGUGAUGGCCUACCAAGGCUUUGACGGGUAGCCGGCCUGAGAGGGUGACCGGUCACAUUGGGACGGAGAUGCGGCCCAGACUCCUACGGGAGGCAGCAGUGGGGAAUAUGGCACAAUGGGCGCAAGCCUGAUGCGGCGCCGCCGCGUGAGGGAUGGCGGCCUUCGGGUUGUGAACCUCUUUCGCUCAUGGUCGAGCCGAAACAAUGGUUGUGGUGAGGGUAGUGGGUAAAGAAGCGCCGGCUAACUACGUG